AGAGUUUGAUCAUGGCUCAGGAUCAACGCUGGCGGCGUGCCUAAUGCAUGCAAGUCGCACGGACCGUCUUCGGACGGCCAGUGGCGAACGGCUGAGGAACACGUGCGUAUCUGCCUUUCCGUGGGGAAUAACGGGUGGAAACACCCGCUAAUACCGCGUACGCUUGCUUCGGCAAGGAAAGCCUUCGGGCGCGGGGAGAGGAGCGCGCGGCCCAUCAGGUAGAUGGCGGGGUAAUGGCCCACCAUGCCGGUGACGGGUCGCUGGUCUGUGAGGAUGACCAGCCACACUGGGACUGAGACACGGCCCAGACUCCUACGGGAGGCAGCAGCCAGGAAUCUUGGGCAAUGGGCGAAAGCCUGACCCAGCAACACCGUGUGGGUGAUGAAGGCCUUCGGGUCGUAAAGCCCUGUUGAUAGGGACGAAGGGUGAAGGGUUAAUAGCCCGGAGCUUGACGGUACCUUUCGAGGAAGCCCCGGCUAACUACGUGCCAGCAGCCGCGGUAAUACGUAGGGGGCGAGCGUUGUCCGGAAUUAUUGGGCGUAAAGAGCGUGUAGGCGGUUCGGUAAGUCUGUCGUGAAAUCCUGGGGCUCAACCCUGGGCGUGCGAUGGAUACUGCCGGGCUAGAGGGUGGUAGAGGCGAGUGGAAUUCCCGGUGUAGCGGUGAAAUGCGCAGAUAUCGGGAGGAACACCAGUAGCGAAGGCGGCUCGCUGGGCCACACCUGACGCUGAGACGCGAAAGCUAGGGGAGCGAACAGGAUUAGAUACCCCCGUAGUCC
Molecule: ribosomal RNA, 776 nt
Filed under: uncultured Rubrobacter sp.
Lineage: Bacteria; Bacillati; Actinomycetota; Rubrobacteria; Rubrobacterales; Rubrobacteraceae
Description: bacterial SSU rRNA
Rfam family: Bacterial small subunit ribosomal RNA
Source: RNAcentral